CCCAACUAUCCCUAUUAAUCAUUACGUGGUCCUAAAACCAACAAAAUAGAACCAUUGUCCUAUUUUAUUAUUCCAUGCUAAUGUAUUCAAGCAAAAAUGCCCGCUUUAAACUCUAAUUUUUUCAAAGUAAAGGUCCUGAUUCAUCGAAACACCCAAGAGCAUCCUGACUCACCAGAAGGUGAGAAAUUGGCUACACACCAUUUCAUGCCCCUAAAAGCACGACCGAUAUAUCCCAAUCCCGAAAUUCAUAUACACUAUUGGAGCUGGAAUUACCGCGGCUGCUAACACCAGACUUGCCCUCCAA
This 304-nucleotide unclassified non-coding RNA is filed under the name uncultured Glomerales. RNAcentral describes it as "sequence contains 18S rRNA gene". Lineage: Eukaryota; Fungi; Glomeromycota; Glomeromycetes; Glomerales; Glomeraceae. The record is from RNAcentral.